CAACAGCAUUUGCAAAAGCAUCUUUAAAUUUCAGUGAACAAGUUCUGUAGGAUGGGUUUACAGCUAAACUUACAUCACUAAUUUCUACAAAUAUUUCCCUGUUAAUCGCUGCCACAAUCACCCUUUCCAUUUGGUUGUGUUAUAGGCAGGAUUUUGGAAAAAAUUAAAAAUAACUCGAUAUAGAGACUAAUACAUUAACUUCUCUCUGAUUUUAAUUUCAUAUGCAGUUCAGGGGCUGAAGGCACCACAGUAUUUGCCAAAGCUGGAGAAACUUCAAGAUAUGGUUAUGCCCCUGUUGCUGCAUGAAAGGAGCAGUGACUUCUGGAAAUGGAUGGGCAGAAUUUGAUCUCUGGAUUCGAUCUCUGGCAGUGCUUGCCCUCUGGACAUACCUUGCUUAUGGCUCUUUGGAGAGGUGUUUAAGUCUGCAUCAAACAGUACGAGGAUGAGCAGGCCUGAGCCAUGGACCCAUGUAUGUGACUGCUGAGCCCAGGCUGAACUAUGAUACUACCUGGUACAGAGGAGGAAACGCACCAGGAGAGACUAAAAGACAACACUCUCCCUUCAAAGAGGAACCAGCUCUUCAUUGUGGUUCUUCAGCUCUGUGCUGUUUGGUGUCUGCUUAGAUUUCAUGUGUUUCUUCCUGUGGAUGAAAAGAAAUGA
This 660-nucleotide long non-coding RNA is filed under the name Calidris pugnax (ruff). RNAcentral describes it as "lncRNA (ENSCPUG00000003837.1)". The record is from RNAcentral. Lineage: Eukaryota; Metazoa; Chordata; Aves; Charadriiformes; Scolopacidae.